AGAGCGAACGCUGGCGGCAGGCCUAAAACAUGCAAGUCGAACGGACCCUUCGGGGUUAGUGGCGGACGGGUGAGUAACACGUGGGAACGUGCCUUUUGGUUCAGAACAACUCAGGGAAACUUGAGCUAAUACUGAAUAAGCCCUACGGGGGAAAGAUCUAUCGCCAUUAGAGCGGCCCGCGUUGGAUUAGCUAGUUGGUGAGGUAAAGGCUCACCAAGGCUACGAUCCAUAGCUGGUCUGAGAGGAUGAUCAGCCACACUGGGACUGAGACACGGCCCAGACUCCUACGGGAGGCAGCAGUUAGGAAUCUUGCGCAAUGGGCGAAAGCCUGACGCAGCCAUGCCGCGUGAAUGAUGAAGGUCUUAGGAUUGUAAAAUUCUUUCAGCGGGGAAGAUAAUGACUGUACCCGCAGAAGAAGCUCCGGCUAACUUCGUGCCAGCAGCCGC
This 446-nucleotide ribosomal RNA is filed under the name uncultured bacterium. RNAcentral describes it as "SSU rRNA". It matches the Rfam family "Bacterial small subunit ribosomal RNA", at positions 26 to 518 of the family's 1533-position model. The record is from RNAcentral.